RNAcentral lists this ribosomal RNA (303 nucleotides) under uncultured Glomus. RNAcentral describes it as "SSU rRNA". It matches the Rfam family "Eukaryotic small subunit ribosomal RNA", at positions 569 to 878 of the family's 1831-position model. Lineage: Eukaryota; Fungi; Glomeromycota; Glomeromycetes; Glomerales; Glomeraceae. The record is from RNAcentral.
AGCAGCCGCGGUAAUUCCAGCUCCAAUAGCGUAUAUUAAAGUUGUUGCAGUUAAAAAGCUCGUAGUUGAAUUUCGGGAUCAUCAGGUUGGUCGUGCCAAUGGUAUGUACUUGCCUUGAUGGUUCCUCCCUCUUGAGAUCCGUAAUGUCAUUAAUUUGGUGUUGCGGGGAAUCAGGACUGUUACUUUGAAAAAAUUAGAGUGUUUAAAGCAGGCAAACGCUUGAAUACAUUAGCAUGGAAUAAUGAAAUAGGACGUUUGAUCUUAUUUGUUGGUUUCUAGGAUCGACGUAAUGAUUAAUAGGGA